Molecule: ribosomal RNA, 324 nt
Filed under: Stanwellia sp. MYG417
Lineage: Eukaryota; Metazoa; Arthropoda; Arachnida; Araneae; Nemesiidae
Description: partial 12S ribosomal RNA
Source: RNAcentral
UCUUAUUAUACAAAGGUAGUAUUCUCGAAUAAACCUAUGCUCUUUGACGGCCUUUUUUCUUAUUAAAGGAACUUGUUAUUUAUCGAAAUUACCCGCUUAAUUUUACUAAAUUAGUGCUUUUAUACCGCCGUCUCAAGAAUAGAAUUCUACUUAAAUUCACAAUAAUUUAUAUUACUAAGUCAGGUCAAGGUGAAGCUUUAAUUUUGGUGAUAGUGAGUUAUACAUAAAAUUUAUUUAUAGCAAUUUGAUUAAAACUUUAUAAAAAUAAAGAUUUAAAAGUAUUAACAGAAUAAAAUUCUAUUAAGAACUAGUAAAAAAAGGUGA